CAGAGUUCAUGCCCAUAUAGGGUAGAUCUCCCACCCUUGAAUAUUAUACUUAUGUUGCUUUGGCGAGGUUAGCUGGAUAAAACCUUUUACCCGCCAGAAGACUUUAAUUCUUGUUAUUGUGUCGUCUGAUUACUAUAUAAUAGUUA
This 146-nucleotide unclassified non-coding RNA is filed under the name uncultured Leotiomycetes. RNAcentral describes it as "sequence contains ITS1". Lineage: Eukaryota; Fungi; Ascomycota; Leotiomycetes. The record is from RNAcentral.